GCUGCGGAGGAUUUAGAUGAAAGUAAUUAUCGUGGUUGCUUUGAUUUGUACUCCUCGCGUUUCGC
RNAcentral lists this microRNA precursor (65 nucleotides) under Pristionchus pacificus. RNAcentral describes it as "microRNA ppc-mir-8344 precursor". Lineage: Eukaryota; Metazoa; Nematoda; Chromadorea; Rhabditida; Neodiplogasteridae. The record is from miRBase by way of RNAcentral.